ACAGCCACAUCAUGUUGAAACACGGGUUCCUGUCGGAUUACCAAAGUUAAGCAAUGUUGAUUUUGGUCUGUACCUAGAUGGGUGACCACUUGGAAAUACCAGGUGCUGUAA
Molecule: non-coding RNA, 111 nt
Organism: Acanthosepion pharaonis
Lineage: Eukaryota; Metazoa; Mollusca; Cephalopoda; Sepiida; Sepiidae
Source: the annotation of a GenBank genome assembly